GAAUCAUUUCAAUUCAGUAGAAAAUGUUUCAACAAAGGAACGUUUAAUAAAUUAGGUUGGGAUGAAAUAAAAAAAAAAAAUGUUAAAAAAUAAUCCUCAAAAAUGGUAUUGAAUCCCUUCCAUUUCAAAGGCUCUGCUCCUGCAAUAGGACUUACCUUUAUCACAGUAUGAGAGAUGGCCUGACCUCCUGAAGUCAUGUGUUAGUUACAUUGGAAUUACAAACACUUAUUUUAAAGUAUUACCCUUAAACCUGCUGUGGCUUGCUGUACCAAAGAGCAGUUUGAACCACACAGUUAAUACUUGCAGUAGGUUUAUUCUGACAGAAGAGAAUUUUACUGUAGGAGUUUUAAAUAUCACACAUAUUUCAUCAGGACUUAACUGAUGGCAACUGAAUGUAAAACAAUUUGUGGUUUGUGAAAUGCAGAUCACUAACCAUUGUCUCCUGUUUUUCCAAGUCAGCUGAUUAUAAGGUCUUGUGUGGGAUGCAGCACGGCUCUGUUUACUAGACAUGCAUACUUUAUUUUUUUACUUGCUAGGGAACAGGUGUAUGAACAGGUGUAUGAGCAGGUGUAUGAGCAGGUGUAUGAGCAGGUGUAUGAGCAGGUGUAUGAGCAGGUGUAUGAGCAGGUGUAUGAACAGGUGUAUGAGCAGGUGUAUGAGCAGGUGUAUGAACAGGUGUAUGAGCAGGUGUAUGAACAGGUGUAUGAGCAGGUGUAUGAGAAGGUGUAUGAGCAGGUGUAUGAGAAGGUGUAUGAACAGGUGUAUGAACAGGUGUAUGAGCAGGUGUAU
Long non-coding RNA from Polyodon spathula (Mississippi paddlefish), 789 nucleotides. RefSeq lists it as uncharacterized. The transcript has 3 exons. The record is from RefSeq and is a predicted model, not a curated record. Lineage: Eukaryota; Metazoa; Chordata; Actinopteri; Acipenseriformes; Polyodontidae.